Molecule: ribosomal RNA, 253 nt
Filed under: uncultured bacterium
Lineage: Bacteria
Description: partial 16S ribosomal RNA
Rfam family: Bacterial small subunit ribosomal RNA
Source: RNAcentral
UACGAAGGGGGCUAGCGUUGCUCGGAAUCACUGGGCGUAAAGGGUGCGUAGGCGGGUCUUUAAGUCAGGGGUGAAAUCCUGGAGCUCAACUCCAGAACUGCCUUUGAUACUGAGGAUCUUGAGUUCGGGAGAGGUGAGUGGAACUGCGAGUGUAGAGGUGAAAUUCGUAGAUAUUCGCAAGAACACCAGUGGCGAAGGCGGCUUACUGGACCGGUUCUGACGCUGAGGCGCGAAAGCGUGGGGAGCAAACAGG